CUUCUCUGGUGUGUGAUCAGCUUGGGCUUCAUAUCCUCCUGCGGAGAUCCGCGACGGAGCUGCAAGAGACCAACUGCUGCUAAAGAAACGAUUUGCUGUUGUUAUGGGACAAAUCAGAGACUACAGAGCAGAAGAUUUCAGCACUGCUUCUGCUCUCAAUUUUACAGCUUCGUUGAAGAGAACAAAAUCUUGAGAUGGCUGGUCCCCCAAAGGAGACGGUGCAGGGCACUGAGAGGCUGAUUCGGAUCCAUGAGAUGAGGCGGACCCAACAACUUGAUUUGGGGAUGAAGAUGGCAAACACAAACCAUGCAACGGUUGGCUGGGGAGGGGAGCAACGGUUGGAAGCAGCAACGGCCACUUGCAAUUUAAAAUUUGUUGUCAGAAAUCAACUCUGUUGUUGCCGACAGUAGUACUAGUACCUGGUUGUAACGAUGUACUACUAACACAAUGGCUAAUACCAGGUAGUAAGGAGUCAUUUAAUGCUUAGUACCUGGUUUUUUACAACAUUGUGGAUGCCCUAAAUAUUUAUA
Oryza brachyantha (malo sina) is the source of this 530-nucleotide long non-coding RNA. RefSeq lists it as uncharacterized. The record is from RefSeq and is a predicted model, not a curated record. The transcript has 5 exons. NCBI's taxonomy places the organism in Eukaryota, Viridiplantae, Streptophyta, Magnoliopsida, Poales, Poaceae.